RNAcentral lists this unclassified non-coding RNA (182 nucleotides) under soil metagenome. RNAcentral describes it as "partial internal transcribed spacer 1". The record is from RNAcentral.
CCGAGUUUACAACUCCCAAACCCAAUGUGAACGUUACCAAACUGUUGCCUCGGCGGGGUCACGCCCCGGGUGCGUAAAAGCCCCGGAACCAGGCGCCCGCCGGAGGAACCAACCAAACUCUUUCUGUAGUCCCCUCGCGGACGUAUUUCUUACGGCUCUGAGCAAAAAUUCAAAAUGAAUCA